AGCGAACGCUGGCGGCAGGCUUAACACAUGCAAGUCGAACGGGCAUAGCAAUAUGUCAGUGGCAGACGGGUGCGUAACGCGUGGGAACGUACCUUUUGGUUCGGAACAACACAGGGAAACUUGUGCUAAUACCGGAUAAGCCCUUACGGGGAAAGAUUUAUCGCCGAAAGAUCGGCCCGCGUCUGAUUAGCUAGUUGGUAGGGUAAUGGCCUACCAAGGCGACGAUCAGUAGCUGGUCUGAGAGGAUGAUCAGCCACAUUGGGACUGAGACACGGCCCAAACUCCUACGGGAAGCAGCAGUGGGGAAUAUUGGACAAUGGGCGAAAGCCUGAUCCAGCCAUGCCGCGUGAGUGAUGAAGGCCCGAGGGUUGUAAAGCUCUUUUGUGCGGGAAGAUAAUGACGGUACCGCAAGAAUAAGCCCCGGCUAACUUCGUG
RNAcentral lists this ribosomal RNA (435 nucleotides) under uncultured bacterium. Its description in RNAcentral is "partial 16S ribosomal RNA". It matches the Rfam family "Bacterial small subunit ribosomal RNA", at positions 29 to 507 of the family's 1533-position model. The record is from RNAcentral.